GGGUAAAGCUGUCUAUUUGCGUUCCUAUCUGAAAGUACCAGGGACUGGGUAAGAAAAACCACAGGACCCUGGGUGUCUGUUUUUCCCUCACUGAACCUGUAGCUGGAGUGGCCCCCCAAACCGUGGCAGAGUAAUUCCCACAAAGGAGUGGCCUCAAAUUUCCCAAGAUAGGGUUGGUUGGGAUUUGUAAGAAAGAAGCACUAACUGCCAGGGUGAUGGGUCCACAGCAUUUAUUAGGAAACUGGUUAUAGAGGGCUGCAGUUUAUCUUCACAAGGGGCAGCAAGAGGUGGGGAUAGGACUGGGGCUGUAGCUCAGUGGCAGAGUGCUUGCCUAGCACGUGAGAGACUGGGUUCCGUCAGCACCGCAUAAAAAAGUAAAGGCAUGCUGUCCUUCAACUACAAAAAAGCGAGGCAGGAUGUCUGCAACAGGGCUGUGGUGUGCAGUUACACAGGCACGCAGUGUUAGGGGAACUGCUUCAACCAGAGCCGCUUCCUUCGGGGUUUGGGCAACACCCUCAACACUGACGGAACUUCGCGCCUGGGGUCCGUUCGGUUAGGGGCGCCCCCACGCGCCGUGGGCGGGCUUGGGCGCAGUCACCGCCGCCACCGGAGCUCGUGGGACACUCUGGGUCCUAGUGUAGUGUACACAGUGGCUUUCUUGAUGACCGCUGU
RNAcentral lists this long non-coding RNA (672 nucleotides) under Marmota monax (woodchuck). Lineage: Eukaryota; Metazoa; Chordata; Mammalia; Rodentia; Sciuridae. The record is from RNAcentral.